RNAcentral lists this transfer RNA (76 nucleotides) under Pseudoflavonifractor phocaeensis. RNAcentral's name for it is "tRNA-Thr". It matches the Rfam family "tRNA". From Rfam's summary of the family: Transfer RNA (tRNA) molecules are approximately 80 nucleotides in length. Their secondary structure includes four short double-helical elements and three loops (D, anti-codon, and T loops). The record is from RNAcentral. Lineage: Bacteria; Bacillati; Bacillota; Clostridia; Eubacteriales; Oscillospiraceae.
GCUAUCAUAGCUCAGUUGGCAGAGCGGCUGAUUUGUAAUCAGCAGGUCGUGGGUUCGAGUCCCACCGGUAGCUCCA